UACGUAGGGGGCAAGCGUUAUCCGGAUUUACUGGGUGUAAAGGGAGCGUAGACGGCAUGGCAAGUCAGAAGUGAAAGCCCGGGGCCCAACCCCGGGACUGCUUUUGAAACUGCCAGGCUGGAGUGCAGGAGAGGUAAGUGGAAUUCCUAGUGUAGCGGUGAAAUGCGUAGAUAUUAGGAGGAACACCAGUGGCGAAGGCGGCUUACUGGACUGUAACUGACGUUGAGGCUCGAAAGCGUGGGGAGCAAACAGG
Molecule: ribosomal RNA, 253 nt
Filed under: uncultured bacterium
Lineage: Bacteria
Description: partial 16S ribosomal RNA
Rfam family: Bacterial small subunit ribosomal RNA
Source: RNAcentral